GAGUUUGAUCCUGGCUCAGAUUGAACGCUGGCGGCAGGCCUAACACAUGCAAGUCGAACGGUAACAGAAAGCAGCUUGCUGCUUUGCUGACGAGUGGCGGACGGGUGAGUAAUGUCUGGGAAACUGCCUGAUGGAGGGGGAUAACUACUGGAAACGGUAGCUAAUACCGCAUAACGUCGCAAGACCAAAGAGGGGGACCUUCGGGCCUCUUGCCAUCGGAUGUGCCCAGAUGGGAUUAGCUUGUUGGUGGGGUAACGGCUCACCAAGGCGAUGAUCUCUAGCUGGUCUGAGAGGAUGACCAGCCACACUGGAACUGAGACACGGUCCAGACUCCUACGGGAGGCAGCAGUGGGGAAUAUUGCACAAUGGGCGCAAGCCUGAUGCAGCCAUGCCGCGUGUAUGAAGAAGGCCUUCGGGUUGUAAAGUACUUUCAGCGGGGAGGAAGGGAGUAAAGUUAAUACCUUUGCUCAUUGACGUUACCCGC
RNAcentral lists this ribosomal RNA (484 nucleotides) under uncultured bacterium. RNAcentral describes it as "bacterial SSU rRNA". It matches the Rfam family "Bacterial small subunit ribosomal RNA", at positions 9 to 482 of the family's 1533-position model. The record is from RNAcentral.